GAGGACCGGAGUGGACGAACCUCUGGUGUUCGGGUUGUGUCGCCAGACGCAUUGCCCGGUAGCUAAGUUCGGAAUCGAUAAGCGCUGAAAGCAUCUAAGCGCGAAGCGAGCCCUGAGAUGAGUCAUCCCUGAUACUUUAAGUAUCCUGAAGGGUUGUUGGAGACUACGACGUAGAUAGGCAGGGUGUGUAAGCGCUGUGAGGCGUUGAGCUAACCUGUACUAAUUGCCCGUGAGGCUUAACCAU
RNAcentral lists this non-coding RNA (244 nucleotides) under Photobacterium proteolyticum. Its description in RNAcentral is "Bacterial large subunit ribosomal RNA". It matches the Rfam family "Bacterial large subunit ribosomal RNA", at positions 2687 to 2925 of the family's 2925-position model. Lineage: Bacteria; Pseudomonadati; Pseudomonadota; Gammaproteobacteria; Vibrionales; Vibrionaceae. The record is from Rfam by way of RNAcentral.